AAUACCAAGAAAUUAAGUCAUAUAUAAAAGGUAAAAAGACAGUUAAAUUAGAAAGUAGAUUACAUACAUUUUUGUAAAAAAGUAAAAUUUGAAUACAAAUUUCUAAUUUAAUAGUAAUUUUUAUGUUGAAGCUGUGAAAGCCCUGAGGGAAACUGGGAUUAGAUACCCCAUUAUUCUUGGCCUUAAAUUAAUAAAUAAUAUAUUUACCGGAGUACUAUGAAUACCUAAAAUUUAAAACUCAAAGAGCUUGGCGGUGUUUUAGACCACUUAGGGGAACCUGUCUCAUAAUCGAUAAUCCACGAUAAACCUGACCUUUUUUUGUAUUCAGCUUGUAUACCGUUGUCGUCAGGUAACUUUUUAGAAAUUAGAAGUUAGCUAUAAGAAUUGUAAACUAAAACGUCAAAUCAAGGUGCAGUCUACAAAAAGGGGAGGAUGGGUUACAAUUAUAAAAUUAUAAUACGGAAAGCUGUCAGAAUAAAAAGCUUUGAAGGAGGACUUGAAAGUAAAAUAAAAUAUAUAAAUAUCUUGAAUAAGGCUCUGAAACGUGC
RNAcentral lists this ribosomal RNA (548 nucleotides) under Funa sp. NP MNHN-IM-2007-17843. RNAcentral's name for it is "partial 12S ribosomal RNA". The stretch from base 210 to 548 matches the Rfam family "Bacterial small subunit ribosomal RNA", at positions 875 to 1384 of the family's 1533-position model. The record is from RNAcentral. Lineage: Eukaryota; Metazoa; Mollusca; Gastropoda; Neogastropoda; Pseudomelatomidae.